This is a long non-coding RNA of Triticum aestivum (bread wheat), 655 nucleotides long. RefSeq lists it as uncharacterized. The transcript is spliced from 4 exons. The record is from RefSeq and is a predicted model, not a curated record. Lineage: Eukaryota; Viridiplantae; Streptophyta; Magnoliopsida; Poales; Poaceae.
GUGUUGUUUGCUACUUGCCGCUGUUGCUGCAUGCUGCUGGCCACUUGUUGCUUGUCGUUGAUGCUCAAUGAUGUUAGCCGUGACCUGCCUGUAGAUGAGAGAAAGAGAGAUUGAUUUGCUAGUGCAAGUAUCUAAUGAGCCAGAUGCCAGCUGGUUUGAUCUUUUCAGCAAACGCUAUUGGGAAGUUGUGAGUGUGGGAGCGACACUGUUUUUGUUUCAGUAACUUGCUGGCAUAAAUGUUGUCGUGUACUACUCUACGUCCAUGUUCCACAGUACAGGCCUUGCAUCUAAUGUUGCAGCGAGUGGAGUGCUCUUGUUCGGUGAUGCCAAUGUUUUUGGCACCAUGAUUGCAUCUCCACUGAUGGUCAAGCAAGGAAGGAAGAGCCUUCUCAUAACAAGAUUAUCUGGAAUGGCGCGUCGAUGUUACUCUUGUCAUUGUCCUUCACCUGGAAGGCUUUAGCACCUUAUUAUGGCACUCUUGCUGUUGUUGGCACUGUCCUGUAAGUGGUUUACAUUCACCUAAUAUGGUGUUCUCCUGGUUUUUCAUUAUCACUAAUUUUAGCUCAUAACUAACUUCAAAUCUUGAUAGUAAUUUUAUGAGUGCGGUGUGAGCACACAACACCCACAAACCAAUUUCAGUAAUCUCCAUAAGCCA